RNAcentral lists this ribosomal RNA (389 nucleotides) under uncultured bacterium. RNAcentral describes it as "bacterial SSU rRNA". It matches the Rfam family "Bacterial small subunit ribosomal RNA", at positions 28 to 417 of the family's 1533-position model. The record is from RNAcentral.
GACGAACGCUGGCGGCGUGCUUAACACAUGCAAGUCGAGCGGUAAGGCCCUUUCGGGGGUACACGAGCGGCGAACGGGUGAGUAACACGUGGGUGACCUGCCCUCAGCUCUGGGAUAAGCCUGGGAAACCGGGUCUAAUACUGGAUAUGACUACCAUGACGCAUGUUGUGGGGUGGAAAGCCUUGUGCGGCUGAGGAUGGGCCCGCGGCCUAUCAGCUUGUUGGUGGGGUGANGGCCUACCAAGGCGACGACGGGUAGCCGGCCUGAGAGGGCGACCGGCCACACUGGAACUGAGACACGGCCCAGACUCCUACGGGAGGCAGCAGUGGGGAAUCUUGCGCAAUGGGCGAAAGCCUGACGCAGCGACGCCGCGUGAGGGAUGACGGCCU